Molecule: ribosomal RNA, 270 nt
Filed under: uncultured bacterium
Lineage: Bacteria
Description: partial 16S ribosomal RNA
Rfam family: Bacterial small subunit ribosomal RNA
Source: RNAcentral
UUCCUACGGGGGGCAGCAGUGAGGAAUAUUGUUCAAUGGACGAGAGUCUGAACCAGCCAAGUAGCGUGAAGGAUGACUGCCCUAUGGGUUGUAAACUUCUUUUAUAUGGGAAUAAAAUGUUCCACGUGUGGGAUUUUGUAUGUACCAUAUGAAUAAGGAUCGGCUAACUCCGUGCCAGCAGCCGCGGUAAUACGGAGGAUCCGUGCGUUAUCCGGAUUUAUUGGGUUUAAAGGGAGCGUAGGUGGAUUGUUAAGUCAGCGGUAAAAUCGC